RNAcentral lists this unclassified non-coding RNA (244 nucleotides) under Hevea brasiliensis (rubber tree). The record is from RNAcentral. Lineage: Eukaryota; Viridiplantae; Streptophyta; Magnoliopsida; Malpighiales; Euphorbiaceae.
GGGGUAUCAGUGGCAAUUUGUUGGCAAAUAUAUUAGGAUAUACACUUGAAUUUGAUUAAUCGCUUGGCAUGUGAUUCUAGAUGUCCAUAAUAACUCAAAAUCAUUAUUAGCAUUCUAUGAAACAAAGUAAAAUUUAUAGCAAGAUUAUGAAUUGCUUGAGGCAUUUUAAAAUGUAUGCACAAAACUAUUAAAGUGACUGGGUGAAUCUCAUGCAUUGCAAUUUGAAAUUGCCAGUUCAUCAAUC